This 515-nucleotide ribosomal RNA is filed under the name uncultured bacterium. Its description in RNAcentral is "bacterial SSU rRNA". It matches the Rfam family "Bacterial small subunit ribosomal RNA", at positions 31 to 518 of the family's 1533-position model. The record is from RNAcentral.
GAACGCUGGCGGCGUGCCUAAUACAUGCAAGUCGAACGGUCUUUCUAUGGAAGCUUGCUUCCACUGAGAAGAUAGUGGCGAACGGGUGAGUAACACGUGGGUAACCUGCCCAUAAGAGGGGGGAUAACAUCCGGAAACGGGUGCUAAUACCGCAUAGUUUUCUUGAUCGCAUGAUUGAGAAAGGAAAGACGGCCUUUGUGCUGUCGCUUAUGGAUGGACCCGCGGCGUAUUAGUUAGUUGGUGAGGUAACGGCUCACCAAGACGAUGAUACGUAGCCGACCUGAGAGGGUGAUCGGCCACAUUGGGACUGAGACACGGCCCAAACUCCUACGGGAGGCAGCAGUAGGGAAUCUUCCGCAAUGGACGAAAGUCUGACGGAGCAACGCCGCGUGAGUGAAAGAAGGUUUUCGGAUCGUAAAACUCUGUUGUCAGAGAAGAACAAGUUGGAGAGUAACUGCUCCAGCCUUGACGGUAUCUGACCAGAAAGCCACGGCUAACUACGUGCCAGCCGCCGC